ACAGCCAUAUCAAAUUGAAACACUGGUUCCCAUAUGAUCACCAAAGUUAAACAACAUCAAACCUGGUCAGUACAUAGAUGGGUGACUGCUUGGGACUACCAGGUGCUGUAA
This 111-nucleotide ribosomal RNA is filed under the name Acanthosepion pharaonis. The record is from RNAcentral. Lineage: Eukaryota; Metazoa; Mollusca; Cephalopoda; Sepiida; Sepiidae.